AGAGUAUAGCUCAAGUGGUAGAGUGCUUGCUUAGCAUGCAUGAGGUCCUGGGUUCAACACCCAGAAAUUCUU
Molecule: transfer RNA, 72 nt
Filed under: Camelus ferus (Wild Bactrian camel)
Lineage: Eukaryota; Metazoa; Chordata; Mammalia; Artiodactyla; Camelidae
Rfam family: tRNA
About the family: Transfer RNA (tRNA) molecules are approximately 80 nucleotides in length.
Source: Rfam by way of RNAcentral